UGCUCUCGCUCUUAGAUGAGCCUAACUCGGAUUAGCUAGAUGGGGGGGUAAAGGCCUACCAUGGCGACGAUCUGUAGCUGGUCUGAGAGGAUGAUCAGCCACACCGGGACUGAGACACGGCCCGGACUCCUACGGGAGGCAGCAGUGGGGAAUAUUGGACAAUGGGGGAAACCCUGAUCCAGCCAUGCCGCGUGUGUGAAGAAGGCCUUUUGGUUGUAAAGCACUUUAAGCAGUGAAGAAGACUCCGUGGUUAAUACCCACGGACGAUGACAUUAUCUGCAGAAUAAGCACCGGCUAACUCUGUGCCAGCAGCCGCGGUAAUACAGAGGGUGCAAGCGUUAAUCGGAAUUACUGGGCGUAAAGGGAGCGUAGGUGGCUCUAUAAGUCAGAUGUGAAAUCCCCGGGCUCAACCUGGGAACUGCAUCUGAAACUGUAGAGCUAGAGUAUGUGAGAGGAAGGUAGAAUUCCAGGUGUAGCGGUGAAAUGCGUAGAGAUCUGGAGGAAUACCGAUGGCAAAGGCAGCCUUCUGGCAUAAUACUGACACUGAGGCUCGAAAGCGUGGGUAGCAAACAGGAUUAGAUACCCUGGUAGUCCACGCCGUAAACGAUGUCUACUAUUCGUUGGGUCCCUUGAGGACUUAUUGACGCAGCUAACGCAAUAAGUACACCGCCUGGGGAGUACGGCCGCAAGGUUAAAACUCAAAUGAA
RNAcentral lists this ribosomal RNA (707 nucleotides) under Psychrobacter sp. TB56. RNAcentral's name for it is "bacterial SSU rRNA". It matches the Rfam family "Bacterial small subunit ribosomal RNA", at positions 210 to 909 of the family's 1533-position model. Lineage: Bacteria; Pseudomonadati; Pseudomonadota; Gammaproteobacteria; Moraxellales; Moraxellaceae. The record is from RNAcentral.